Molecule: long non-coding RNA, 328 nt
Organism: Anthonomus grandis grandis
Lineage: Eukaryota; Metazoa; Arthropoda; Insecta; Coleoptera; Curculionidae
Exons: 3
Source: RefSeq, a predicted model, not a curated record
CCAAAUAGAACAGGACUGUAAUACUUCUUUUAAUUCUAUAAACGACGAAUCUUCAUUUUUUGUGAAACCACAAGAGUUAAUUCCACAAGUUUUCACAACAGAAAUCAUGGUGGAUUCAUCUGAUAGAGCCAAUAAUUUUCAGUUUGUUGAUUUAAAUGAAGCUACUAUAAUGUCAGCUCCUGUUGUUAUAUCAAUGGCUGAAUAUGAACCUACAAAUUUUAAUAUACAAAGCAAACAAUAUGCUGCAUUGUCACCACUAAUAUGCAAUUACGGUGAUGAUGGGUUAAUUCCAGUCAGUGACCCCACCCAUCCCAUUGCUGAUCAUGAA